Molecule: ribosomal RNA, 2444 nt
Filed under: marine metagenome
Description: bacterial LSU rRNA
Rfam family: Bacterial large subunit ribosomal RNA
Source: RNAcentral
AGGGUAUAAGGUGGAUGCCUUGGGUCCAAAAGCCGAAGAAGGGCGUGGCAAGACUGCGAUAUGCCUCGGUUAGUUGUCUAGCAAACUUAUCCGUGGAUUCCCGAAUAGGAAAACCAAGCUUUUAUCAAAGCCAUCUUAAAUUUAUUUAAGAAGGGAACGAAGCGAACUGAAACAUCUAAGUAGCUUCAGGAAAAUAAAUCAAACGAGAUUCUCUGAGUAGCGGCGAGCGAAAUGGGAAUAGCCCAAACCUGUGUGACUUAACGGAUUGGAGUCCUAUGUCAUGUGGGUGUUGUAACAUUUACUUAUCUCAUCUCCUAAGUGAGAAAAAUAGUCAAAAAAAUAAUUACUAGCCAAAUGAUUUCUGGAAAGAACAACCAUAGAAAGUGAUAGUCUUGUAGGCGAAAGUUUUUAUUCUAUUUAGUAAAUUGUUGAGUAGAGCGGGACACGUGAAAUCCUGCCUGAAUCUGGGGGGACCAUCCUCCAAGGCUAAAUACUUUUGGACACCGAUAGUGAACUAGUACCGUGAGGGAAAGGUGAAAAGAACCCCGGGAGGGGAGUGAAAUAGACCUGAAACCAUAUACCUACAAGCCGUGGAAGCCUUUUUUUAAAAGGGUGACCGCGUGCCUAUUGAAGAAUGAGCCUGCGAGUUAAUCUAAAUAGCAUGGUUAAAGGAUAAAAGUUCUGGAGCCAGAGCGAAAGCGAGUCUGAAUAGGGCGACUUUGUUGUUUGGAUUAGACCCGAAACCGGGUGAGCUACCCAUGGCCAGGUUGAAACCAAGAUAAUAUCUUGGUGAAGGACCGAACCCGUGUAAAGUGCAAAUUGCUGGGAUGAGCUGUGGGUAGAGGUAAAAUGCCAAUCGAACCCGGAGAUAGCUGGUUCUCUCCGAAAUGUAUUUAGGUACAGCGUUAAAUUAGUCUUAGGGAGGUAGAGCACUGGAUGGAUAAGGGGGCGUAAGCCUACCAAGUUCAACCAAACUCCGAAUGCCUUAAGAUGAUGUUUAGCAGUGAGACCGUGGGGGAUAAGCUCCAUUGUCAAAAGGGAAACAGCCCAGAUCACAAGCUAAGGUCCCUAAGUCUGAACUAAGUGGGAAAGGAAGUUAGAAUCCACAAACAGCCAGGAGGUUGGCUUAGAAGCAGCCACCCUUUAAAGAAAGCGUAAUAGCUCACUGGUCGAGGUUUUUAGCGCCUAAAAUGUAACGGGGCUAAAGUUCAGCACCGAAGCUGUGAGUUUUCUAUUUUAAUAGAAAGCGGUAGGAGAGCGUUGUCAGUGCACUGAAGCUAAAAUGUGAGUUUUGGUGGAGCGCUGAGAAGUGAGAAUGCAGGCAUGAGUAGCGACAAUCGUGGUGAGAAUCCACGACACCGGAAGCCCAAGGUUUCCUACGCAAUGUUGAUCAUCGUAGGGUUAGUCGGGCCUAAGUGAAAGCGUAUAGCGAACACGAUGGAUAUCGGGUCAAAAUUCCCGAACCAUUUGUAUUGUGUUUUAACGCAAAGGGGGGACGCAAGAAGGUAAGUAGAGCAUACCUAUUGGACAUGGUGUGUUUGCUUUUGUAGAUGAUGACCAGAUAGGUAAAUCCGUUUGGUAUUUUAGUUGAGGAAAGCAAAAACUCGAGAGCUUAGCUCAAAGGAAUUCUGCUGACCCUAGGUUGCCAAGAAAAUCCUCGUUGUAAAUAAUAUAAAUGACCGUACCGCAAACCGACACAGGUAGGCAGGGAUAAAAGUCCCAAGGUGAACGAAAGAACCUUCGUUAAGGAACUCGACAGAUUGACCCCGUAACUUAGGGAGAAGGGGUGCCUAUUAUUUAAUACUGAUUUACUUAGUAAAGGAUAAUAGGCCGCAGUGAAUCGGUCCAAGCGACUGUUUAUCAAAAACAUAGGUCUAUGCUAAACCGAAAGGUGAUGUAUAUGGGCUGACGCCUGCCCAGUGCCGGAAGGUUAAGAGGAGAGGUUAGGAGUAAUCCAAAGCUUUGAAUUGAAGCCCCGGUGAACGGCGGCCGUAACUAUAACGGUCCUAAGGUAGCGAAAUCCCUUGUCAGGUAAGUUCUGACCCGCACGAAUGGCGUAACGACUUGGACAUUGUCUCAACGAAGGACUCGGUGAAAUUGCAGGACCAGUGAAGAUGCUGGUUACCUACGACAGGACAAAAAGACCCCGUGGAGCUUUACUGCAACUUGGCAGUGAUUUAGGCUUAUAAACGUGUAGGAUAGGCGGGAGACUUUGAAACUUUAGCGCUAGUUAGAGUGGAGUCGACCUUGAAAUACCGCCCUUUUAUAAUCUUGGAUCUAACUUUAUUUAAUUAUGAAGGACCCUGCCUGGUGGGCAGUUUGACUGGGGCGGUCGCCUCCCAAACAAUAACGGAGGCGCCCAAAGGUUCCCUCAAGGUGGAUUGGAAAUCACCUUUCGAGUGUAUUGGCAUAAGGGAGCUUGACUGCGAGACCUACAAGUCGAG